RNAcentral lists this ribosomal RNA (406 nucleotides) under uncultured bacterium. RNAcentral describes it as "partial 16S ribosomal RNA". It matches the Rfam family "Bacterial small subunit ribosomal RNA", at positions 30 to 526 of the family's 1533-position model. The record is from RNAcentral.
AUUGAACGCUGGCGGCAGGCCUAACACAUGCAAGUCGAGCGAGCGGCGGACGGGUGAGUAAUGUCUGGGAAACUGCCUGAUGGAGGGGGAUAACUACUGGAAACGGUAGCUAAUACCGUAUACCAUCAGAUGUGCCCAGAUGGGAUUAGCUAGGAGGUGGGGUAAUGGCUCACCUAGGCGACGAUCCCUCGCUGGUCUGCGAGGAUGACCAGCCACACGGGAACUGAUACACGGUCCAGACUCCUACGGGAGGCAGCAGUGGGGAAUAUUGCACAAUGGGCGCAAUCCGGAUGCAGCCAUGCCGCGUGUGUGAAGAAGGCCUUCGGGUUGUAAAGCACGUUCAGCGGGGAGGCGUUACCCGCAGAAGAAGCACCGGCUAACUCCGUGCCAGCAGCCGCGGUAAUUC